UUCCAAACGCUAUCCACCUCAUGAUCCCCACAGAGUGCAAGAUACAGAACUCCAAGUCUGCAAACUUCACAGAGAGAAAAAUGAGGUCUCUCUGAAAGCAGCGGAUUGUUUGGUUAAUCCUUGAAAAGAUCUGGGAACCACACAAGGGCUGUAGAGCUAUUGUUCCAUGCGGUGUGAAACAAGUGGAGUGGUUUAAAAUCUACAGUGAGCAAAGCAAAAACACGCCAGUGACAGGACAGUGUUCAACAUGUGAUCCGUAUUCAUGCAUAAAUGAAGCUUUGCAUCGGCUGAUUUCAUCCACUGCGUCCUACCACUGACUGAAGGCGCCAGAGUCCCCCAAGCUCCACUGUGACCUCAUGCCAGGUCACGUGUUCCUUCCCUUACCUCCAUCGCCCGCUUCAUCAUGACAUGUGUCGUCGACACGGCCUAUUCCCGACAGUGAACGCAAAGCACUGUGGGAAUCUGCCAGCAGAGACUGCAUGCAGGGAGGCGCCUGUGCUCCGGAUGCCGUCGGCUCGCUGUGUUAUCCAGCGCAAAGGAGGCGUGGCAUGAAGCCUUUUCCUUUCCCACCGUGGAGACACCAUGCAAAAGCCUCAGGCAGCAGUCGCUUCGACAGCAGUGCUGUAGGAUUGAGGAAGAACAAUGAACAAGUCCAAAUUUGUUGUUGUUGAAUUCUUACAGUAAGCAAGAGCGAUGGCCAGAAUGUGGUGAUGAGCCAAUGACCUCAGGACAAGUAGCCCGUCCAGCCCCUGAACAACAAGCCAAGACGGAGUCAAGUUACGGGAACAGGACUGGGAGAACAGGAAACAGGAGGAUCCAUGUCAUGACAGGGAGCGCAAGUCAGCAUUUAAGUGCCAAUGAAGUUGCCCACGUCCUGGCAGACAGUGGCCGCCGUCCUGCUCGCGCCAUCUUCAGAUGUCUUCCAGGCCAGGACCUGACUCCUGCGAGCUGGAAAGCAAGGCCUCUGAUCCCAAAACACGCCUGGUCCUCUCGCAAGACAACGUCCUUCCAUGAAGUCCGUCAGCUGCAAAGUGGAAACGUCGAUGGUUACACGGAUGAGCUUUGGUGAUGAGAACUAUUUUAGGUCGUAAAGUCAGCCUGCAGCCCAAACAUCUGACAGCAAUGUCAAUGAGCACACGUUGCCCCAGACGCAGUCGUCGGCAGCAGGUGAAGAUGCCUCGACUUCAGCAGCUGAAGAAGAGCCGCCACUGCGAGGCUUGAUCUCUGAGACCAGCACAUGCUCCUGGCAGCAUCAACCAGGCAGCCUGGCCUUGGUGUGGACCUCCCGGCUCUGUCUGACUGAAGACUUACCUUCGGUCACCUUUCCUGGGAGGCUCUGGAACCCAACUGGGGAUUUGGUGAAUGUUUCAAAUGAAAGAUGGAUGGCCAAAUGUUGAAUUAUAGAACAGGAUGAAUAAAUGAUGACAUCAGUUUUUCAUAAUUCGUGCAUCAACAGUUGAGGACUUUACAAACAAUAUAUGGUUUUAUCUUCUCUUCUGGACUCACUUUUUAUUGAAAAAAAAACAUUCAAAAAUCUUUUGUUUUUUUAAAUAUCAUCAAUGAAAUGAAGCAAUUUAUGGAUGUUUUUUGGUGUGAAAUAUGAGUGUCUUUAAUGGUGUAAUGGUCUCUUUUUAUUUCGAGGUGUAAGGGAUUCUGCUUCUGUGCUGUGUCAGGAUCAGUCGCCUCAUCGUUUCCUUCUGUCAUCGUGCUUCAGACAUCUUGAUAUAUGCUUGAGUGUUGCAUUACAAAAUGGAAGUAUACUUUUCCAAUCAAAAGCCCCAACCGUGAACUUGCACCCAGGAGAAGUCACUCAGUUCAGCUUCUAUCUUAUUUUCGACGACAGUGAGGGCUGUCAGGAGGACUAAGGCUAACAA
Long non-coding RNA from Synchiropus splendidus (mandarinfish), 1874 nucleotides. RefSeq lists it as uncharacterized. The transcript has 4 exons. The record is from RefSeq and is a predicted model, not a curated record. Lineage: Eukaryota; Metazoa; Chordata; Actinopteri; Syngnathiformes; Callionymidae.